GACUAUUGAUGCUUCAGUUUUGAAGUGGAUUCUGCACUCAAGAAAUGUACCAUUGAAGAAUGGGACUGGUAGGAAGGGAAAAAAACUAAAAGGAAACGCAUUUUCGAGUUGCACAUCAUGAUCAGGCACAGAGUCCAGAUACACUUGGAGUAGCAAGCAUCCAUCCUUGUGGAGACGCACAUGAACCAGGACUCUCUGCACCCACCCCUCUCAAGUUUUAUUUUCCGACGGCUGUAAUGUUCCAGGACACCUGCCAUCAUGGAGGGUUAUCCAGCACCUGGAGGAUACCUGCUACCUGGUGAAGGACUUUAGUACGAUGG
RNAcentral lists this long non-coding RNA (320 nucleotides) under Homo sapiens (human). Its description in RNAcentral is "non-protein coding LINC00299:11". The record is from RNAcentral. Lineage: Eukaryota; Metazoa; Chordata; Mammalia; Primates; Hominidae.